GAUGAACGCUGGCGGCGUGCCUAAUACAUGCAAGUCGAGCGAACAGACGAGGAGCUUGCUCCUCUGACGUUAGCGGCGGACGGGUGAGUAACACGUGGAUAACCUACCUAUAAGACUGGGAUAACUUCGGGAAACCGGAGCUAAUACCGGAUAAUAUAUUGAACCGCAUGGUUCAAUAGUGAAAGACGGUUUUGCUGUCACUUAUAGAUGGAUCCGCGCCGCAUUAGCUAGUUGGUAAGGUAACGGCUUACCAAGGCAACGAUGCGUAGCCGACCUGAGAGGAUGAUCGGCCACACUGGAACUGAGACACGGUCCAGACUCCUACGGGAGGCAGCAGUAGGGAAUCUUCCGCAAUGGGCGAAAGCCUGACGGAGCAACGCCGCGUGAGUGAUGAAGGUCUUCGGAUCGUAAACCUCUGUUAUUAGGGAAGAACAAAUUUGUAAGUAACUAUGCACGUCUUGACGGUACCUAAUCAGAAAGCCACGGCUAACUACGUG
RNAcentral lists this ribosomal RNA (497 nucleotides) under uncultured bacterium. RNAcentral describes it as "partial 16S ribosomal RNA". It matches the Rfam family "Bacterial small subunit ribosomal RNA", at positions 28 to 507 of the family's 1533-position model. The record is from RNAcentral.